AGUUUGAUCCUGGCUCAGAUUGAACGCUGGCGGCAUGCCUUACACAUGCAAGUCGAACGGUAACAGGUCAAGCUGACGAGUGGCGAACGGGUGAGUAAUAUAUCGGAACGUGCCCAGUCGUGGGGGAUAACUGCUCGAAAGAGCAGCUAAUACCGCAUACGACCUGAGGGUGAAAGCGGGGGAUCGCAAGACCUCGCGCGAUUGGAGCGGCCGAUAUCAGAUUAGGUAGUUGGUGGGGUAAAGGCCUACCAAGCCGACGAUCUGUAGCUGGUCUGAGAGGACGACCAGCCACACUGGGACUGUGACACGGCCCAGACUCCUACGGGAGGCAGCAGUGGGGAAUUUUGGACAAUGGGCGCAAGCCUGAUCCAGCCAUGCCGCGUGCGGGAAGAAGGCCUUCGGGUUGUAAACCGCUUUUGUCAGGGAAGAAACGCUCUGGGCUAAUACCCUGGGGUAAUGACGGUACCUGAAGAAUAAGCACCGGCUAACUACGUGCCAGCAGCCGCGGUAAUACGUAGGGUGCAAGCGUUAAUCGGAAUUACUGGGCGUAAAGCGUGCGCAGGCGGUUAUGCAAGACAGAGGUGAAAUCCCCGGGCUCAACCUGGGAACUGCCUUUGUGACUGCAUGGCUAGAGUGCGGCAGAGGGGGAUGGAAUUCCGCGUGUAGCAGUGAAAUGCGUAGAUAUGCGGAGGAACACCGAUGGCGAAGGCAAUCCCCUGGGCCUGCACUGACGCUCAUGCACGAAAGCGUGGGGAGC
Molecule: ribosomal RNA, 757 nt
Filed under: uncultured bacterium
Lineage: Bacteria
Description: bacterial SSU rRNA
Rfam family: Bacterial small subunit ribosomal RNA
Source: RNAcentral